This 765-nucleotide ribosomal RNA is filed under the name Lipomyces kockii. RNAcentral describes it as "partial small subunit ribosomal RNA". The stretch from base 1 to 379 matches the Rfam family "Bacterial small subunit ribosomal RNA", at positions 488 to 1533 of the family's 1533-position model. Lineage: Eukaryota; Fungi; Ascomycota; Lipomycetes; Lipomycetales; Lipomycetaceae. The record is from RNAcentral.
GUCCUGACCAAAUCUCGUGCCAGCAGUCGCGGUAAAACGAGGAGGGCAAGCGUUAAUCAUCAUAAUUCGGUCUAAAGGGUUCGUAGACUGCUUUUUAAGUCUUUAUCGCAAGGAAAGAUACUGUUAAGCUAGAGUUUUAUGGAGGAAGGAGGAAUUUUCGCAGUAAGGAUGAAAUCUAUAUAGCGAAGAGACCGCUAACAGCAUAAGCAUCCUUCCAGAUUUAUACUGACGUUGAGGGACCAAAGCUAGGGGAGCGAGCCGGAUUCGAUACCCGAGUAGUCCUAGCCUACAGCGAUGAAUGCUCAUUUUUAAAUAUUUUUAUAAUAUUUUUAUUGCUUUAUUUAAAAACUUUUAUAGAGUUCUAAAUAUUAUAAAUUUUAUAGUUUUAAAUUUAUUAAAUAUUUAUUUAAGGUCAAUUUCAAAUUCAAACAUUUUAUGAAAAGAAAAAUAAAUAAAUAAUUAGUUAUGUUUGGAUAAGGAUAAAAUUUAAAUUUAAGUUUUAAGUUUUAUUAUUUUUAUAACAAUUUUUAUGUAAAAAUACUGAUAUAAAUAAAAAUUUUAAAAUUAAAAUAUUUAUAAAUAUUUGGCUAUUUAUUUAUACUAUUGUAAAUUUAAGUACUUAGAAUGUAAGUCGUCAUUCGAAAUAGUAAGGAUAUUUUCAAAGUAAUAAAAAAUUGACUACCUAUAAAAAUAUUAAUAAUUAAGUUAUUUAAAAAUUUAGUGAAGACGUUAAGCAUUCCACCUGGAGAGUACGUCUGAAAGGAU